Molecule: long non-coding RNA, 557 nt
Filed under: Mytilus galloprovincialis (Mediterranean mussel)
Lineage: Eukaryota; Metazoa; Mollusca; Bivalvia; Mytilida; Mytilidae
Source: RNAcentral
UUUUGUUUUGUUUUGUUUUAUCUAAAUUAAUAAAUAAAUAUAAUGUUGAAUGAUUUUGUAUACUAGUACAAAUGUAUACUUAAAUUUUAUGUAUGGUUAAAUUUUUUAAUUUAAAUUUCUUUGUCUACAGUUCGAGGGACACUGAUUCCCUAGUGGUUUUCCACGUGGAUUGUAGGCAAAGGGAUUUUUCCUUUUCAAAGUGUGACUAAUGCUGUCUUUUAGUACAAAUAAACAAUUUGUUAUUGGUUAAUAUAUUUUCAGCAGACAUGUGAAGAAUCGAGUGGAAAUACAAUUGUCAAUGUUCCUGAUUAUGAAGUAAAGAGUGUGUUUGAUUCAACAAAAGUAAAGAAAGAGACAAGCCAGCAUAGUUUACACUUGGAGGUUAAGUCCCUUUGCUUACAAGCUUUCCACAUGCUGAAGAUGUUAUUAGAAUAAUGACAAUGUUCAUUUUGAUAUGAAGUUCAUUGCCUUAACUCAACUUUUAAAAGUCCGUAUGUGGUCAAAUUCAUGAGAAUUUAUUGAAUUAUGAACGAUUUAUAAAGAACUGUUUACAUGCA